This 401-nucleotide long non-coding RNA is filed under the name Ornithorhynchus anatinus (platypus). RNAcentral describes it as "lncRNA (ENSOANG00000049650.1)". Lineage: Eukaryota; Metazoa; Chordata; Mammalia; Monotremata; Ornithorhynchidae. The record is from RNAcentral.
CCGGUAGCAACCAGGUGCCGGAACAUCUGUAAGGCGGCCGUUCACCGAACACCUUUGUGGAGAGGUUCCCCCCCAUCGGAGUUUAAGGCAGGUAGAGCAGCUGGGAAGCCACGGGAAGAUGAGCUGCCGUUUUUCUCUCCCAACGGAAGGUUCCUGAGUUGGCGAAGUACUUAAGAAUGGAGUCUGAAGGGGUCCCAAUGAUUCAAAACGUAUGCCAAGAGAUGUCCCAGCGAAGUCUCACAGCGAGUUAGUGUUUCAGUCUCCAUCACUUGCCGUAUGUUACCUCGAGCAGAAACAGGAAAUGCCACCUGAGAUAAGGGAUUUAUGACAAUGCUGUCUGAAGACGAUAAUUUCAGGUAUAAACCCAACUCAAUUUGAAUGUUAGAGCCAUGAUGAGGUCA